This 69-nucleotide transfer RNA is filed under the name uncultured Treponema sp. It matches the Rfam family "tRNA". From Rfam's summary of the family: Transfer RNA (tRNA) molecules are approximately 80 nucleotides in length. Their secondary structure includes four short double-helical elements and three loops (D, anti-codon, and T loops). Further hydrogen bonds mediate the characteristic L-shaped molecular structure. tRNAs have two regions of fundamental functional importance: the anti-codon, which is responsible for specific mRNA codon recognition, and the 3' end, to which the tRNAs corresponding amino acid is attached (by aminoacyl-tRNA synthetases). tRNAs cope with the degeneracy of the genetic code in two manners: having more than one tRNA (with a specific anti-codon) for a particular amino acid; and 'wobble' base-pairing, i.e. permitting non-standard base-pairing at the 3rd anti-codon position. Lineage: Bacteria; Pseudomonadati; Spirochaetota; Spirochaetia; Treponematales; Treponemataceae. The record is from RNAcentral.
GAGAAUUAGCUCAAUGGUAGAGCAGCGGACUGUUAAUCCGCCUAUACAAGUUCGAUUCUUGUAUUCUCC